Non-coding RNA from Paramuricea clavata, 1351 nucleotides. The record is from the annotation of a GenBank genome assembly. NCBI's taxonomy places the organism in Eukaryota, Metazoa, Cnidaria, Anthozoa, Malacalcyonacea, Plexauridae.
GCCAUAUAUAGUCAUAUGUUACUUUGUCUGCUGCCAGACAAGCAGACACUUCAAAUCAUCAAGUAGAGAGUUCGCAAAUGUCAGAAUAAAAAGACUGACAAACGUUAAACGUCAUAAUGAAGUGUUAAUAGUGUACAUUUCCCUUGCGUAGUCCAACUUUCUUCCUACUGUGACCUUUUGUUAGACACAAAAACGUUUGAUAUUCUAUCUCCCUGAAAACGACAGAGUUCCGGUUCCGGCCAUGCUUUUUUUACUAGUUCCGGCCGGAACCGGAACUCUAAAAAAUCGGGGUUCCGGCCGGAACCGAGUUCCGGUGCACCCCUACACACCAGUGAUGAUCAAGGCCAGGUCCAGGCCACCUACAUUUGCUGGCCUGGAUUUCUUGACUUAGGCCAGGCCAGGCUCAGGCCAGGUAAAACCUGUUCACACCCAGGCCAGGUCCAGGCCAGGCCUGGGCCGCUAGUGUGAACGCGGCUUAAGACAAAUAAACCUCGACGUUUCAGCUAUGGCUGAAGAGCUUGGGGCCUUUAUAUUUGUUCAUAUUUUUUUAGCUUUUGGUGUACAUACACAUAGGAUUAUGGUUUCUGUAACUUCUAAUAGUUUCUUGAUAAAUAUAAUUCUGAAAAAACAAUGUAUUUUUAAGGGGUCACUCAACUUGCCAACAAAGUUCGAGCAUCGUCUGAAAACCUAGUAUAUUUCUUUUGUAUUCCUCAUUUUCCCUUGAUAUGAUUUUUCAUGCUUUUUCUCUUUUAGAGUAACCUAUAUAACCUAUUCUUGUUUAUUGCAGAAUUAUUUACCACCACAAUGAUGCAGUUGAAAUUGUAUUAUUUUAAUUUAAAUUCUUCAAUGAAUAAUUAUUAACUACCAAUCACCAAUGAGUCAUUCCAGAAAAGAUAAACACUAACUCCACAGAUGUCUGAAGUGCUGUCUGACGUGGGCAGAACUCAACUGCUGAUAAUAGUAAAAGUAUUAGCUAAGGGUGUCCAAAAGUGGGAGGAAGCUCAACCUCCCAUCUCUUCCAUUAGGGGUGUGGAUAUUUUUUUGAAUGACCCAAUCAGUUUGAACUAACUGUAUAAUCAAGUUAUUCUAGUAUAAUUAUCACUUUGUAGUCCCAUGAGCUGUGACUUUGGCUGUUUGGCAUGUUUAUCUCUUUUCAAUUUUCUUUUGGUAGCAAUAACAGAUUACUACUACAGAUACUGUAUUACUACACAUUGUUACACCCAAAUAAGAUCAUAUACAUCAAUGUCAACUAUCAUGAUACAAUACAUCUGUUACAGCAAGAACAUUUUUGCUUCAGUUCUUGUAUAAUUACAUAUCACUUUGAUGCCUGUAAUAGAAAUGAGAAAUAAAG